GUCUUUUUGAAAUAAUUUAAAGUCUAAUCUGCCCACUGAUAAAAAAUUAAAGGGCUGCAGUAUAAUGACUGUACAAAGGUAGCAUAAUCAAUAGUUUUUUAAUUGAAAACUUGUAUGAAAGAUUUGAUGAAAUAUGGACUGUCUCUAAUUUAUAUAUUGAAUUUUAUUUUUUAGUAAAAAAGCUAAAAUAAAUUUAAAAGACGAGAAGACCCUAUAGAGUUUUAUAUUUAAUUUUAUUUUAAAAUUAUAUAAAAAUUAAUAUUAAAAAUAAAAUUAAAUAUUAUAUUGGGGUGAUAGAAAAAUUAAAUUAACUUUUUUUAAAAAUUAAACAUAAAUAAAUGAUUAUAUGAUCCAUAAAUAAUGAUUAUAAGAAAAAAUUACCUUAGGGAUAACAGCGUAAUAUUUUUUUUUAGUUCAGAUAAAAAAAAAAGUUUGCGACCUCGAUGUUGGAUUAAGAUAAAAUUUAAAUGCAAAAGUUUAAAAAUUUUGAUCUGUUCGAUCAUUAAAAUCUUACA
Molecule: ribosomal RNA, 515 nt
Filed under: Melanargia larissa
Lineage: Eukaryota; Metazoa; Arthropoda; Insecta; Lepidoptera; Nymphalidae
Description: partial 16S ribosomal RNA
Source: RNAcentral